CUGCCUGGGGCACGAGGGACAGCACUGUUGAGAUGUCCUCAGCAUGGACACCCUGCAAGGAGAAGGGAAAGGGUCUUAAGAAAGCUGUUCAUUGUUAUGAACAAAAAUUCUGCUAAUUUUUUUGUGAGAAGAAGGUUACCACUGUUGCUGCUGGGGUGCUGCUUGUGUGUUAUGGUAAUUACGGGUCGUUGUCGUUAAUAGUUGUUUUUGUAAUAGUAAAAGCCUAGCUGGGGCCGAGUUAAUGGGCCUUCUCUGAGACAGUGAAGGGUGGGAACCUCCCCAAACAGUGAGGAGAAGAGACCUGGGGGGGGAAUAUGCAAAAUAACUCCAGGACCAGCAUGCCAUGAGAAGCUACUGCUUCUAGCUUGUUAAAAAAGACCCCAAAACAACGAGCCAACUAAGAGUUGAGAGACUGGAGUGAUGUAUGGACGUCAGGAACGGAGUGCUGAGCCUGCAGAGAUGCUGAACACCUUCGUAGUCCCUCUCACCCUGAGCGCGGGAGUCGUCCCGACGCCGGGAGCGGACAGGGCAAAGCUGGAACAACAACAUCUGAGGGGCCACCACACCCUAAAGGCUCCCACGAGGGCCGCACCCCCGGCUCUGCCCCUCGUGGACAAAGCUGCGCAUACCCUCCUCCUCCUCCUCCUUGCCCUGGGAGACACAACAGGAGACUGCAGACCUGUCGGAGCUGCCCAAUCCCGAGCUGAUCGCUUUUAAUGAAGGCAUUAAAAGGAGAAGUCUCCUGCCCUGUUUAUUUCAUUCAUGACAUGGAUGAGUGUGUGUACCAGCAGGAAGCUGACCAUGCCUGACCACAGCUCACAACACUCUCCAGGAGGAGGCUUGCUUUUCUGUUGCCACACAAAAGAAAAAGAAUUAAUAGUAUGUUGUGGGAACUCAGCACAUCACUCCAGAUGUCCAGAGUUACCGAGACAACCCUUUGGGGGGCCUCAGAAAUCCUGGAAUGUUGCCAGAAGCCCCUGGUGGUUGGAUUUUUACCCUGAAAGGAAUGUGCCACCUGUUGUUUGAGGACAAGAGAGUCACUUGGGCUCUCUUGUCCUCAAUGGUGUAAGAAUUAAGUAUUUACAGGGUGGAAAUAUAGAUUUUAGGAUUUUGGUACAGGAGGGUUGAGAGACAAGAUGGAGGGAUCAGGGCGUGUCUUGUCCUUCUUCUUGUCCUCCAUUUUCUGUGGUGAUGUUGGCACUUUGGGAUUGGUUUGUCUUGCAUGUGCACUUGGCAUUAUGGGUGAAAGAUAUUGGGAAAGAAAGGUAAACAUAUGUACGUAGUUUUUAGUAUAAAAAUAGAGUACCACCCAGUGGGAGGUGAGAGUGCCCUUGGCUGCCUUGCUGGACAGACCUCUGUCGGGUCAAAAAAAAUUUUCAGGAUAAGGAAAAAUAAGCAACAUCAAGAACGUUAAAUCUGAAGACUCCCGGCUUGUCCUUCGAAGCGUGGGCAGUUCAAAGGCGACUCUACAUCAGACUGUACAGAGAAGAACAGCCGAAGCAGUCGAUCGUUUUUAAAGAAUCUGUGGUUGUAAACCCACCCUCAGGACGGGUAUCUAAACUCAAGCAUAACCACCAGACUAAAGAAGAAGAAUACAGGAAAGCCUUGCCAGAAUCAAGGAGCAUGUCACAAAAUAUAAGUAACCAGCCUUUGCAGCUUAAACCAGAGCUGCCAAAGGCAAGUGGCAUGCAUGCUUGGCCUUUUCCAAGGAGUCCUGCAACUACCGAUGAGCGCAGGUAAGGGGCAGCUCUGAGUGAGCCAGCACCAUCCUGCUGGAAAUGGAGUCCAA
This is a non-coding RNA of Zonotrichia albicollis (white-throated sparrow), 1789 nucleotides long. The record is from RefSeq and is a predicted model, not a curated record. Lineage: Eukaryota; Metazoa; Chordata; Aves; Passeriformes; Passerellidae.